CAGCCUCCUGAGUCUCUGGGACUUCAGGCAGGAGCUUGGAGGGCGGGAGGAGGCGGGUGGAAGGUUCUGCCUCGAAAACUGAGGAUACUAGUGUAAUAACAGAAGCUCGCAGAGGUCGCUUCACUGUGCGAAGAACCUGGAAAACCUGAAAUCUGACUACCUGGUCUUGUCUAGGCAGCUGGGGACUGUGGCAGAGUGGCCCGGCCAGACAGGUUGGGGUCACUGAAAACACUUGGUCUCCAACCACACAUGGCUCCAUCUGCCAAAUCACUGAGCAUCUCUGACUUGCUUACUCUCCUGCCUUCUGAAAACACUUUUUGAACAUUGUCUGUCUCCUUCAACCUCAGAUGUCUCACCUCCCUCUUGGUGACUUUGCUUCAUAUGUCACAAAAAAAUAGAAAUACCAGCCAAGACCUCCCUCAACUUUGGGCCACCUUCAGGACAAACCUUCAUCUGUCCUAGUUUUCCUCUUCUCUCCUCUUGUCAUAUGGAGUGACCGUUCCUCUGCUAAGAAAGACUUAUCUCUCAUCCAGCUCUGGACCUUAAGACACUGAGAAGUGGUUUUGUGGUUCCAGCAAUAAGGAAGUCAUUGCGGACUUUAAUAAGAGCCAAGUUCAAGUGAAACGAGAAGAACUAGAAGGUGAAGAAACUAGACAGUUAUAGACAACCCAUUUAGGAAGUCUGAUUAUGAGGGGAGCAAUUACUCACUACUAUCUCUAAAACCCUAAGCUAGCGAUUAUUCCCUUCAUCUUUCUCUUCUUCCUCUCUACCCAUUCCCUUCAGUCCCAGACACACAAAGGUCUCUGCUAUCCCAACAGCAGCUGCUAGAUAACCAGCAAACAAAAGCUAUCCUUCAACCCUGUGCCUCUCAGCUAUUGGCCUAUUUGUUGCUGUCCUUCCUAAUCACAUUUUUCAGGCGGGGUUGUCUUGUCACUUGUUCGCCUUCUAGUCCCUUCACAUCUCAUUUCAAUAUGGUUUUCUUAAGGUUACCAGUGACUUCCAGAUUGCUAGAACCAAAAGAAAAAAGCAGAACAAAACAAAACAAAACCCAACCCCAUUGUUCAGCCUCCUCACGUGUUUUCCCUGAGGUAGCCCAUGACGGCAGAGUCUAGCCGGUCUGGGGAAGCGAUUCGAGUUCAAGAAAUGCCUGGUGCAUUUGCGGGCUGCACUCUCUGUGCCAGGCUCUGUGUUGAGCGACAGGAACCGCAGCAGUGUAAGACACAGUCCUGUCCCUCGGGCCUGCGGGCCGGCCUGUGGAAGGCAAUGACCAUGCACUGUGCUGCCACACGUGGUGACUGAGGAGGAGGGGCCUGGGGAGCACAGGGGGAGGAGGGGUCACCUUCUCCAGGGUGGGGUGGAAAGGUUCAGGCUGGAGUCUGAGAGGUAAACUGGUGGGAGAGCUGAGAGCUGGGGGAGCACGUUCCAGACAAUGACAGCAACUGGUGUGACAUGCAGGGAACCUCAUGCCACACUGUGCUGGGAAAGCCUGGGUGGAAGUGGGGUGUAGGUGGGUGGGGGGUGUGUGAAUGGCGGAGUCUGGUCAGGAAUGCCUGGGUGUGUGAAGCCUGGCCUCUGGCCUCUUCCUCCAGGCCCAGGGACAUCAGAGUCACUACAAUUAGCCUAUAUAUGGUCCUAGGUGUCAGCAAGUGCUGAAUAAAUGAAGAAAGGAUGAAUGACUGUUUUAGUUCAUGAAACACUGCCGCACUGUUUGUGUUGUUUAAAUUGACAUUGCUAAUGCAUUUAAAGUGCUUGGAACACAGGCACAGAGUAUAAGCGGCCGUGAAGCAUACUGGUUAGGGCAUCAGUCGAUGGGGCUGGAGGCACAGGGUUUGUACCCCAGCUUCACUACUUGCUAUGACUUUGGACAAGUUACUUAAGCUCUUUGUGGCAUCUGUACUUCGGGAAUUCCAACAGUAGCUGAUUCACAAAGUUAUCCUGAGGGUUAAAAGGGUUUACAUAACUAAAGCACUUAACCCAAUUUCUUGUAACAACUCAUAAUAAUU
Non-coding RNA from Microcebus murinus (gray mouse lemur), 2003 nucleotides. Lineage: Eukaryota; Metazoa; Chordata; Mammalia; Primates; Cheirogaleidae. The record is from RefSeq and is a predicted model, not a curated record.